ACAAGCGGUGGAGUAUGUGGUUUAAUUCGAUGCAACGCGAAGAACCUUACCUGGUCUUGACAUCCCGGAGACCCUUAGGAAACUAGGGGUGCUUCCAUUAGGAAGAAUCUGGAGACAGGUGCUGCAUGGCUGUCGUCAGCUCGUGUCGUGAGAUGUUGGGUUAAGUCCCGCAACGAGCGCAACCCUUGCCUUUAGUUGCCAGCAGUUCGGCUGGGCACUCUAAAGGGACUGCCGGUGUUAAACCGGAGGAAGGUGGGAUGACGUCAAGUCCUCAUGGCCUUUAUGACCAGGGCUACACACGUACUACAAUGGCCGGUACAAAGGGCAGCGACACAGCGAUGUGAAGCGAAUCCCGAAAAGCCGGUCUCAGUCCGGAUUGCAGGCUGCAAUUCGCCUGCAUGAAGUCGGAAUCGCUAGUAAUCGCAGGUCAGCAUACUGCGGUGAAUACGUUCCCGGGCCUU
This 461-nucleotide ribosomal RNA is filed under the name uncultured Desulfobulbus sp. RNAcentral's name for it is "bacterial SSU rRNA". It matches the Rfam family "Bacterial small subunit ribosomal RNA", at positions 925 to 1382 of the family's 1533-position model. Lineage: Bacteria; Pseudomonadati; Thermodesulfobacteriota; Desulfobulbia; Desulfobulbales; Desulfobulbaceae. The record is from RNAcentral.